Molecule: ribosomal RNA, 253 nt
Filed under: uncultured bacterium
Lineage: Bacteria
Description: partial 16S ribosomal RNA
Rfam family: Bacterial small subunit ribosomal RNA
Source: RNAcentral
UACGUAGGUGGCGAGCGUUGUCCGGAUUUAUUGGGUUUAAAGGGUGCGUAGGCGGCCCUAUAAGUCAGUGGUGAAAUAUCGCAGCUCAACUGUGAGGGUGCCAUUGAUACUGUAGGGCUUGAGUGAAUUUGAGGUAGGCGGAAUUGACGGUGUAGCGGUGAAAUGCUUAGAUAUCGUCAAGAACACCGAUAGUGAAGACAGCUUACCAAGCUUCAACUGACGCUGAGGCACGAAAGUGUGGGGAUCAAACAGG